GACGAACGCUGGCGGCGUGCUUAACACAUGCAAGUCGAACGCUGAAGACCUGGCUUUUGUUGGGUUGGAUGAGUGGCGAACGGGUGAGUAACACGUGAGUAACCUGCCCUCUUCUUUGGGAUAACGCCCGGAAACGGGUGCUAAUACUGGAUAUUCACUGGCCUUCGCAUGGGGGUUGGUGGAAAGGUUUGUUCUGGUGGGGGAUGGGCUCGCGGCCUAUCAGCUUGUUGGUGGGGUGAUGGCCUACCAAGGCUUUGACGGGUAGCCGGCCUGAGAGGGUGACCGGUCACAUUGGGAAUGAGAGACGGCCCAGACGCCUACGGGAGGCAGCAGUGGGGAAUAUUGCACAAUGGGCGAAAGCAUGAUGCAGCGACGCCGCGUGAGGGAUGGAGGCCUUCGGGUUGUAAACCUCUUUCGCUCAUGGUCAAGCCGCAACCGUGGGUUGUGGUGAGGGUAGUGGGUAAAGAAGCGCCGGCUAACUACGUG
This 486-nucleotide ribosomal RNA is filed under the name uncultured bacterium. RNAcentral describes it as "partial 16S ribosomal RNA". It matches the Rfam family "Bacterial small subunit ribosomal RNA", at positions 28 to 507 of the family's 1533-position model. The record is from RNAcentral.